GACGAACGCUGGCGGCGUGCUUAACACAUGCAAGUCGAACGGAAAGGCCCUGCUUUUGUGGGGUGCUCGAGUGGCGAACGGGUGAGUAACACGUGAGUAACCUGCCCUUGACUUUGGGAUAACUUCAGGAAACUGGGGCUAAUACCGGAUAGGAGCUCCUGCUGCAUGGUGGGGGUUGGAAAGUUUCGGCGGUUGGGGAUGGACUCGCGGCUUAUCAGCUUGUUGGUGGGGUAGUGGCUUACCAAGGCUUUGACGGGUAGCCGGCCUGAGAGGGUGACCGGCCACAUUGGGACUGAGAUACGGCCCAGACUCCUACGGGAGGCAGCAGUGGGGAAUAUUGCGCAAUGGGCGGAAGCCUGAUGCAGCAACGCCGCGUGCGGGAUGACGGCCUUCGGGUUGUAAACCGCUUUCGCCUGUGACGAAGCGUGAGUGGCGGUAAUGGGUAAAGAAGCACCGGCUAACUACGUG
This 468-nucleotide ribosomal RNA is filed under the name uncultured bacterium. RNAcentral describes it as "partial 16S ribosomal RNA". It matches the Rfam family "Bacterial small subunit ribosomal RNA", at positions 28 to 507 of the family's 1533-position model. The record is from RNAcentral.